This 1126-nucleotide ribosomal RNA is filed under the name Candidatus Nitrosopumilus sp. RNAcentral's name for it is "Nitrosopumilus sp. partial 23S ribosomal RNA". It matches the Rfam family "Archaeal large subunit ribosomal RNA", at positions 1 to 1133 of the family's 2987-position model. The record is from RNAcentral. Lineage: Archaea; Thermoproteati; Nitrososphaerota; Nitrososphaeria; Nitrosopumilales; Nitrosopumilaceae.
UUACUGGUGUAAAGACGCCAAUAGGUGGAUUGCUAGGCUUGAGAAGAGAUGAAGGACGUGGCAAGCUGCGAUAAGCUCGGGGUAGGCGCACGCAUCCUAUGAUCCCGAGAUGUCCGAAUGAGAAUCUUACACAUUUGUGUAUUCCAGUACAUUAGUAUUGGAAGUCGAACCGUGGGAAUUGAAGCAUCUUAGUACCACGAGGAAAAGAAAUCAAUUGAGAUUUCCCAAGUAGUGGCGAACGAAAAGGAAAUAGCCCAAACUGAAUCCUUCGGGAGAUGUGGUGUUUUGGUAUAGUGAUAUGGAAUCCGGACGCAUAGCUGAAAUGAUCUGAAAAGUUCUGGAAUAGAGGGUGAUACCCCCGUAAGCGAAGUGUGAAUGGUCCUAACUAUACCCGAGUAGUUGUCCUUGGUAGUGGGCAAUGAAUACGGGAGAAAGUAGCUUCCGAGGCUAAAUAUUUCUCAAGACCGAUAGUGGACUAGUACCGUGAGGGAAAGCUGAAAAGUACCCCGGAAGGGGGGCGAAAAGUGCAUGAAACCUAUUGGUUACAGACGUGCGUGGCAUGGAAGGUGAUUUUUUCAGAUUAGAGAUUCUAGCAAUAGAGUUGAAGAUUUGAUGUUCAAAUCAUCAGUGUCACGCGUUCCGUCUCGAAACACGGGCCAAGGAGCUAACUGUCAUGGCAAGCUUAAACUGAAAAAGUGAAAGCGAAGGGAAACCGAGCUCUCGCAGCUUCGCAAGAAGUCAGGAGAGGCGUGUGAAAGUGCGUAGAGUCAUGGCGGCUAGGCUAGAAGCCAGUCGAUCUAUUCCUGAGCUAGAUGAAGGAGAGCGAAAGCUCUCUGGAGGUCUUAAGACGUUCUGACGUGCAAAUCGUUGUUGUGACUUGGGAAUAGGGGUCAAAAACCAAUCUAGACUGGCGCUCGCUAGUUCCAACCGAAGCGUCUCGCAGGGCGUGGUUUGUGGAGAUAGCGUUUCCGGUAGAGCACUGAUAGAAGGGCGCGGGGGAGAAAUCCCUCACCCUCCAUUCAAACUCCGAACGGAUACGCAUUGAAGAAGCAGGCACACGGGCUCAUGUGGCGUAAGGCUCAUGGCCGAAAGGGGUUUAACCCAGACUGAAGUUAAGGUCCCCAAA